GGAUGCGAUCAUACCAACACUAAAGCAUCGGAUCCCAUCAGAACUCCGAAGUUAAGCGUGCUUGGGCGAGAGUAGUACUAGGAUGGGUGACCUCCUGGGAAGUCCUCGUGUUGUAUUCC
RNAcentral lists this ribosomal RNA (119 nucleotides) under Triticum aestivum (bread wheat). The record is from RNAcentral. Lineage: Eukaryota; Viridiplantae; Streptophyta; Magnoliopsida; Poales; Poaceae. RNAcentral also lists the same sequence under 1 other name.